RNAcentral lists this ribosomal RNA (253 nucleotides) under uncultured bacterium. RNAcentral describes it as "partial 16S ribosomal RNA". It matches the Rfam family "Bacterial small subunit ribosomal RNA", at positions 524 to 776 of the family's 1533-position model. The record is from RNAcentral.
UACGAAGGGGGCGAGCGUUGUUCGGAUUUACUGGGCGUAAAGGGCGCGCAGGCGGCUCAUUUUGUCAGGCGUGAAAGCCCCGGGCUUAACCUGGGAACUGCGUUUGAUACGGAUGGGCUAGAGUUCGGGAGAGGAGAGUGGAAUUCCCAGUGUAGAGGUGAAAUUCGUAGAUAUUGGGAAGAACACCCGUGGCGAAGGCGGCUCUCUGGGACGGUACUGACGCUGAGACGCGAAAGCGUGGGGAGCGAACAGG